GGGGCUAUGGCGCAGUUGGUAGCGCGACUCGUUCGCAAUGAGUAGGUCGGGGGUUCGAUUCCCCCUAGCUCCACCG
RNAcentral lists this transfer RNA (76 nucleotides) under Gordonia hirsuta DSM 44140 = NBRC 16056. RNAcentral's name for it is "tRNA-Ala". It matches the Rfam family "tRNA". From Rfam's summary of the family: Transfer RNA (tRNA) molecules are approximately 80 nucleotides in length. Lineage: Bacteria; Bacillati; Actinomycetota; Actinomycetes; Mycobacteriales; Gordoniaceae. The record is from RNAcentral.